AUUGAACGCUGGCGGCAGGCCUAACACAUGCAAGUCGAGCGGAUGAAGGGAGCUUGCUCCUGGAUUCAGCGGCGGACGGGUGAGUAAUGCCUAGGAAUCUGCCUGGUAGUGGGGGAUAACGUCCGGAAACGGGCGCUAAUACCGCAUACGUCCUGAGGGAGAAAGUGGGGGAUCUUCGGACCUCACGCUAUCAGAUGAGCCUAGGUCGGAUUAGCUAGUUGGUGGGGUAAAGGCCUACCAAGGCGACGAUCCGUAACUGGUCUGAGAGGAUGAUCAGUCACACUGGAACUGAGACACGGUCCAGACUCCUACGGGAGGCAGCAGUUGGGAAUAUUGGACCAUGGGCGAAAGCCUGAUCCAGCCAUGCCGCGUGUGUGAAGAAGGUCUUCGGAUUGUAAAGCACUUUAAGUUGGGAGGAAGGGCAGUAAGUUAAUACCUUGCUGUUUUGACGUUACCAACAGAAUAAGCACCGGCUAACUUCGUG
RNAcentral lists this ribosomal RNA (484 nucleotides) under uncultured bacterium. Its description in RNAcentral is "partial 16S ribosomal RNA". It matches the Rfam family "Bacterial small subunit ribosomal RNA", at positions 30 to 507 of the family's 1533-position model. The record is from RNAcentral.